CCUACGGGCGGCUGCAGUGAGGAAUAUUGGUCAAUGGGCGCGAGCCUGAACCAGCCAAGUAGCGUGAAGGAUGACUGCCCUACGGGUUGUAAACUUCUUUUAUAAAGGAAUAAAGUGAGGCACGUGUGCCUUUUUGUAUGUACUUUAUGAAUAAGGAUCGGCUAACUCCGUGCCAGCAGCCGCGGUAAUACGGAGGAUCCGAGCGUUAUCCGGAUUUAGUGGGUUUAAAGGGAGCGUAGAUGGGUUGUUAAGUCAGUUGUGAAAGUUUGCGGCUCAACCGUAAGAUUGCAAUUGAUACUGGAAGUCGUGAGUACAGUUGAGGUAGGCGGAAUUCGUGGUGUAGCGGUGAAAUGCUUAGAUAUCACGAAGAACUCCGAUUGCGAAGGCAGCUUACUAAACUGCGACUGACAUUGAUGCUCGAAAGUGUGGGUAUCAAACAGGAUUAGAUACCCUUGUAGUC
RNAcentral lists this ribosomal RNA (460 nucleotides) under uncultured bacterium. RNAcentral describes it as "partial 16S ribosomal RNA". It matches the Rfam family "Bacterial small subunit ribosomal RNA", at positions 338 to 795 of the family's 1533-position model. The record is from RNAcentral.